AGUGAACGCUGGCGGUAGGCCUAACACAUGCAAGUCGAACGGCAGCACAGUAAGAGCUUGCUCUUACGGGUGGCGAGUGGCGGACGGGUGAGGAAUACAUCGGAAUCUACUUUUUCGUGGGGGAUAACGUAGGGAAACUUACUCUAAUACCGCAUACUACCUACGGGUGAAAGCAGGGGAUCUUCGGACCUUGCGCGAUUGAAUGAGCCGAUGUCGGAUUAGCUAGUUGGCGGGGUAAAGGCCCACCAGGGCGAGGAUCCGUAGCUGGUCUGAGAGGAUGAUAAGCCACCUUGGAACGGAGACACGGUCCAGACUCCUACGGGAGGCAGCAGUGGGGAAUAUUGGACAAUGGGCGCAAGCCUGAUACAGCCAUACCGCGUGGGUGAAGAAGGCCUUCGGGUUGUAAAGCCCUUUUGUUGGGAAAGAAAAGCAGCAGGUUAAUACCCCGCUGUUCUGACGGUACCCAAAGAAUAAGCACCGGCUAACUUCGUG
RNAcentral lists this ribosomal RNA (492 nucleotides) under uncultured bacterium. RNAcentral's name for it is "partial 16S ribosomal RNA". It matches the Rfam family "Bacterial small subunit ribosomal RNA", at positions 29 to 507 of the family's 1533-position model. The record is from RNAcentral.